RNAcentral lists this ribosomal RNA (114 nucleotides) under Clostridium botulinum. RNAcentral describes it as "partial 16S ribosomal RNA". It matches the Rfam family "Bacterial small subunit ribosomal RNA", at positions 1431 to 1533 of the family's 1533-position model. The record is from RNAcentral. Lineage: Bacteria; Bacillati; Bacillota; Clostridia; Eubacteriales; Clostridiaceae. RNAcentral also lists the same sequence under 1 other name.
UGAGCUAACCCGUAAGGGAGGCAGCGACCUAAGGUAGGGUCAGCGAUUGGGGUGAAGUCGUAACAAGGUAGCCGUAGGAGAACCUGCGGCUGGAUCACCUCCUUUCUAUGGAGA